GAUUCGCGAGCGUAGGGAUUCCGCGCCUUUUCUCUCCGCGGUUUUUCCUGUGUGUUGUAAACCCUUAUCGCUAAAUAACGUCUAACUCACCCUCUCUCACCCUUAUUUAUUUUUAUUUUCACUCUCUUUACAUUUUAAACGAACAAAUCAAAAGUCCAGUUCUUCUCAUUUCUAUCGUAUAACUCGUAUAAUUUUUAGUAAUUUUUUUUUUUUUUAUGGUGUAUAAAUUCUCCCACACGUUUCUUAUUCGUACCGUUCGUGUUUUUGUGUUCUUACGAAUGAAGAGAAAAAGAGAAAGAGAAAUAAAGAGAAAUUUAUCGAUCUUUUCUCUCUCUCUCUCUCGGAAGGAAGAGAAGAAGAAAGGUGUUCGCCGUACGUGUUCAAGGUUCGUUUAUUAACGACAAAUGUUUAUACAAAAAUAAGUUGACACUUUGUAUAUAACGUUUCGAUAAAACAAGUGGAUAUAUACGUAUGCGUGUAUUUGUGUUUGUGUGAAAGAUAUAGAUUGAACUAUAAGUUUUUUAUUCAUCAUUUAUUCAUCAUAUGUAAACGUAUUACACGUCAAAUUAACAUGGCCCACUUUCUAAACGAUCACAUGUCCUACGUUGGCUGCAUGAGAGCAGCAGCAGCAGCAGCAGCAGCAGCAGCAGCAGUAGCAGCAGCAGAAACAGCAGCAGCAACGUACGAAGGAAUAAUCAUUUAAAAAAUAAUUGGAAUGACAUUGUUUUUUUCUCCGUUCUCAACGUAAAUAGAAUCUAAAAUCAAGGAUUGAUAAUUAUAUCGUGCAAGUUUAAUUGUUAUUGUGUUGUUGUUUCGGUUUAUUUUUUACUUUUCUUAUCGUUGAUCGAUUUAAAUGUCGAAGAAAAGUUCAACACCUUCCUCGUGUUUAUGAAAACGAUGAAAGGAUAAAAAAAAAAACAUAACAUGACGAGGAAUGUAACGUGGUAACACGUCCACGCGGGUAAAUAAAUCCUAAGUCAUGAGAGUCUUAAACGAGUGUCGACGGAUGACUGUCAAGGUGGUGCAGUUGCAUCGACGUAAAAGUGCAGUGUGACGAAAACGACAAAGACGAGGACGAUUACGACUACGACAACUGCGACUAUUACGACUAUUACUAUUACUACGACUUAGACUUAGACUUACGACUUACGACUUACGACAAUUGUGAUGACACGAUUCGUGAAAGAAGAAAUUGUGUAAAAUAAGCUAAAAGCAUAUAUAUAGUGUGCGUGAUUAUUAUAAUUGUUAUUAUUAUACUAUUCAAAUACUUGAUAUAUAGUUGUUUCGUGGUGCCUAAAAGUUCGGGUAAUUCCCUACUAACUUAAAAAAAAAAAAAAAAAAGGG
This is a long non-coding RNA of Polistes dominula (European paper wasp), 1344 nucleotides long. NCBI's taxonomy places the organism in Eukaryota, Metazoa, Arthropoda, Insecta, Hymenoptera, Vespidae. The record is from RefSeq and is a predicted model, not a curated record.